Molecule: long non-coding RNA, 255 nt
Filed under: Brassica napus (rape)
Lineage: Eukaryota; Viridiplantae; Streptophyta; Magnoliopsida; Brassicales; Brassicaceae
Description: long non-coding RNA (BNAP_LNC012885)
Source: RNAcentral
ACCCUUUCAAUCGGAGCUUAACCCUAGCCCCAAUGACUGACAAGCGGGUUCCGGCUGGGUCACCAUCGUCCUCUAACGGCGCACACCAACCUCACACCGACGAGUCACCAGAGCGGGAUUUCUAGUGGCCACCGCUUUAGAAAACCCUCCCGAGUCACAGCAAAGAGAGAGGGCCACCUCCUAGUAGCACCGGGUCUUACCUAUCCCGUCUCGUCGAGCAGUUUCCAGAGAGGGAGAGCCACUACGAACACCGAC